GAUGAAGAACGUAGCGAAAUGCGAUAAGUAAUGUGAAUUGCAGAAUUCAGUGAAUCAUCGAAUCUUUGAACGCACAUUGCGCCCGUCAGUAUUCUGGCGGGCAUGCCUGUUCGAGCGUCAUUACGCCCCUCAAGUCCCCUGUGGACUUGGUGUUGGGGAUCGGCGAGGCUGGUUUUCCAGCACAGCCGUCCCUUAAAUUAAUUGGCGGUCUCGCCGUGGCCCUCCUCUGCGCAGUAGUAAAACACUCGCAACAGGAGCCCGGCGCGGUCCACUGCCGUAAAACCCCCCAACUUUUUAUAGUUGACCUCGAAUCAAGUAGGACUACCCGCUGAACUUAAGCAUAUCAAUAAGCGGAGGA
Molecule: unclassified non-coding RNA, 358 nt
Filed under: soil metagenome
Description: partial contains 5.8S ribosomal RNA, internal transcribed spacer 2, and large subunit ribosomal RNA
Rfam family: 5.8S ribosomal RNA (bases 1-120)
Source: RNAcentral